GUGAGGAAUUUUCCGCAAUGGGCGAAAGCCUGACGGAGCAAUGCCGCGUGAAGGAUGAAGGCCUAUGGGUUGUAAACUUCUUUUCUUAGAGAAGAAUAUUGACGGUAUCUGAGGAAUAAGCAUCGGCUAACUCUGUGCCAGCAGCCGCGGUAAGACAGAGGAUGCAAGCGUUAUCCGGAAUGAUUGGGCGUAAAGCGUCUGUAGGUGGCUUCAAAAGUCUCCUGUCAAAGAUCAGGGCUUAACCCUGGGCCGGCAGGAGAAACUCUGAGGCUAGAGUUUGGUAGGGGCAGAGGGAAUUCCCUGUGGAGCGGUGAAAUGCGUAGAGAUCGCGAGGAACACCAAAGGCGAAAGCACUCUGCUGGGCCACAACUGACACUGAGAGACGAAAGCGAGGGGAGCGAAAGGGAUUAGAUACCCCAGUAGUCC
RNAcentral lists this ribosomal RNA (426 nucleotides) under uncultured bacterium. Its description in RNAcentral is "partial 16S ribosomal RNA". It matches the Rfam family "Bacterial small subunit ribosomal RNA", at positions 354 to 796 of the family's 1533-position model. The record is from RNAcentral.